Lachancea dasiensis is the source of this 136-nucleotide transfer RNA. It matches the Rfam family "tRNA". Rfam says of the family: Transfer RNA (tRNA) molecules are approximately 80 nucleotides in length. Their secondary structure includes four short double-helical elements and three loops (D, anti-codon, and T loops). NCBI's taxonomy places the organism in Eukaryota, Fungi, Ascomycota, Saccharomycetes, Saccharomycetales, Saccharomycetaceae. The record is from Rfam.
GCUCGUGUAGCUCAGUGGUUAGAGCUUCGUGCUUAUAGAUGCAUUCGGUUCUCCGAAGCUUUCUGUGAAAGUACGGCCGCUAAACACGGCCUUUAAAGCAACGCGACCGUCGUGGGUUCGAACCCCACCUCGAGCA